CCUACGGGGGGCUGCAGUGGGGAAUAUUGGACAAUGGGGGGAACCCUGAUCCCGCCAUGCCGCGUGUGUGAAGAAGGCCCUCGGGUUGUAAAGCACUUUCAGUGAGGAAGAACGCCUGGUGGUUAAUACCCAGCAGGAAAGACAUCACUCACAGAAGAAGCACCGGCUAACUCCGUGCCAGCAGCCGCGGUAAUACGGAGGGUGCGAGCGUUAAUCGGAAUUACUGGGCGUAACGCGCGCGUAGGUGGCUUGAUAAGCCGGUUGUGAAAGCCCCGGGCUCAACCUGGGAACGGCAUCCGGAACUGUCAAGCUAGAGUGCAGGAGAGGAAGGUAGAAUUCCCGGUGUAGCGGUGAAAUGCGUAGAGAUCGGGAGGAAUACCAGUGGCGAAGGCGGCCUUCUGGACUGACACUGACACUGAGGUGCGAAAGCGUGGGUAGCAAACAGGAUUAGAUACCCUUGUAGUC
RNAcentral lists this ribosomal RNA (465 nucleotides) under Vreelandella stevensii. RNAcentral's name for it is "partial 16S ribosomal RNA". It matches the Rfam family "Bacterial small subunit ribosomal RNA", at positions 338 to 795 of the family's 1533-position model. The record is from RNAcentral. Lineage: Bacteria; Pseudomonadati; Pseudomonadota; Gammaproteobacteria; Oceanospirillales; Halomonadaceae.